GGAGAGGUGGCCGAGUGGCUGAAGGCGCACGCCUGGAAAGCGUGUAAACGGGUGACCGUUUCGGGGGUUCGAAUCCCCCUCUCUCCG
This 87-nucleotide transfer RNA is filed under the name bacterium. Its description in RNAcentral is "tRNA-Ser". It matches the Rfam family "tRNA". From Rfam's summary of the family: Transfer RNA (tRNA) molecules are approximately 80 nucleotides in length. Their secondary structure includes four short double-helical elements and three loops (D, anti-codon, and T loops). RNAcentral also lists the same sequence under 2 other names. The record is from RNAcentral.